This is a non-coding RNA of Punica granatum (pomegranate), 1519 nucleotides long. Lineage: Eukaryota; Viridiplantae; Streptophyta; Magnoliopsida; Myrtales; Lythraceae. The record is from RefSeq and is a predicted model, not a curated record.
UAUAUAUAUAUAUAUAUAUAUCUAUGAACUCAAAGAUACCACUAUUAAUCUAGCCAUGACGUUGUAAUUCAACACAAGUUGAGCAUCCAACCAGCGGAUUUUACCAGCAGUGCAAGGGUUUGACAAUUGAAAAGGAACCAUGGAGGGAGGCCAAUAUUCUCAUCGAACCUCUUGCUGAUUUUUAUUUGUUCUUGCUGUGUCUUGAGUCUUGAGAUAUCUUAUUGUUGUAAUUCUUGCACGAAAUAGAUCAGAUCUGACAUCUUAACCGUCUCUCUCUGUUACAUUUCAUGAUCUCGAAGCUGUUCGUUUUAUGAGUUUGAACUUAUUGUGCAGCCAUUUAUGUAAAUCAGAUCUAUCAAUAUUUGGAUCGGGUCCCAAAUCCCAAUUAGAUCUUCGGUUCUGUGUCAGUUUGAAGUUUCUCUUGCAGGCCAUUCUUGUUGGUGUGAAAGAGGCAUGGGUUCUUUUGGUUUGUCUGUUUAGCAUAUUUGGAAAUUGUCCCUGUGAUAGAUAGAUACAUACAUGCAUAUGCGUAUAUAUAUAUUUUUUUAUAGGAGAGCAGAGUUGACAACAAAUUAGAAGUUAAUUGUUUGUACUUUUACUUGUACUUACUAUAAGUUUUAUCACCGAAGACAGUAUUUAUUGUCUGGAUUGUGUGUUCCUUACUAGUUUAUUUCAUUCUUUUACUAAAAAAUUCACCCCCUUUUAACCGUAAAAAUUUUCCCCCAAUUUUUUAAGGUGAAAUUGAUGCACGGUCAUUGUUCUUGCAGUACAACUUCAGGGGAAAAUCAUUCAUGGGAAAGUUUGUGUUUUUGUCUGAUACAUCAUUGUCGGCACGUGUUGUUCAUUUCAAAUCUGCGAUGUCAUACAAGACCCAGUACAAGAAUCGAGUAUGCCAGCUUGAGUUUGUUGAGCGUCUGUUUUGUGAUACCCUCUCUAAACUACAGCUCUUCCUAAGCUUUCUCUUGUUUUUGGCAUAAAUAUAUCUCAAUGUAUUUCUGCAGAAGCAAAGCUUACAUGUCUGUGAGCAUGCAUAAGUUGAACUGAUGUGUGUAACAUUAUGUCAUGAGGAACGAUAGAUUCAAGGAAUAAUCAAGAGAUGGGCUUCAAGUCCUAAAUCCCAAUGGCAACUUUGUUCUGUGCAGGAAUAAAUAGUUCUUAUGCAAAUAUUUGUUCGUCCCCAUGCAAAUAUUUCCUCUCUCUCUACAGAUCAGUUCAAUAGGUCGAUGAACUUUCUUUGGAGCAUCAAGUGACUCUUCUGAUGACACAGAAGGGAAAAUCGAAGGACGAGAUGCAUUUUAUACCACUAUUGUGAUCCUGCUAUUCUAUAUGUAAUUAUAUGGUAACUGACAGUGCAGAAAGCGAUUUUGGUUGCAUGGAGUCUAAUAUGGCGGAUACGAGCAGUUUAUUGGAUGCAAGAUGGAAUGGCCAUCAAUGUUUAUGUAUAGUGGCUUUCAUCCUGUGCAAAUGUGAAACAAUAAUUGUUCAUUUCAAGAUAUUUGUCAUUGUCCCUAAUAGCCAA